Non-coding RNA from Paramuricea clavata, 384 nucleotides. The record is from the annotation of a GenBank genome assembly. NCBI's taxonomy places the organism in Eukaryota, Metazoa, Cnidaria, Anthozoa, Malacalcyonacea, Plexauridae.
UUCGCGACGGCCCUGGCUCUUGGCAACUGUAGUCUGUAGCUCAGUGUCAUGGCGCUGUACCGGAAUCGCAGGGCUACAAGUUCGAUUAGGAGUGCAAAGAAUUUCUCUUCGGUGCCAGUGCAUAGUUAAUUAACGGUCCCUCACCGCUAACAUUUUAUUAAGAGGCAAUAUUACCGUUUACUCGAAUUUAGAACUCUGCGAUUUAACAUUGUUGUUAAGUUGUGCAAGUGUAGUCGAUGAACAUCGAUAGACAUAUAGACAUAGUAUUAAUAAAAAAGUCAUAUUCGUCGUAGCAAAGUAGCUCAAGUAUAUCAGUGUAUCAUAGAAAUCUGACAAGUGUAUUGAAUAUGUACUGCCUAUGUAACUUUAAUAAAAAUUUCUCAA